RNAcentral lists this non-coding RNA (21 nucleotides) under Caenorhabditis elegans. Lineage: Eukaryota; Metazoa; Nematoda; Chromadorea; Rhabditida; Rhabditidae. The record is from RNAcentral.
UUUUUCAAAUUUUUAUUGAAA